Molecule: long non-coding RNA, 1320 nt
Organism: Cyprinodon variegatus (sheepshead minnow)
Lineage: Eukaryota; Metazoa; Chordata; Actinopteri; Cyprinodontiformes; Cyprinodontidae
Exons: 3
Source: RefSeq, a predicted model, not a curated record
AGAGUGUCCCCCAGAAGGUUUGUAAGAGUUAAUACUACUUUUCUAAACAUUUGGUUUCUUUUUAGUUUGCUCUAGGUUGUGGUUUAGAAUGUUUAUGAUCAUUUAAAUAUCCAUGAUUGAGUAAUAUGUAAAAAAACAACCUUGAAAAAGUAAGGUAGCGCUUUAGGAAAUGUAAAAUUAUCUACCAUUUUUCAGUGUGUGGGUGAGGCUCUGAAGAAGUCUUAAAACUGAAAAGGACAUUUUGAAAUUCUGGUUCUCUUUAAAAGACAGUGUAACCUGUAAUUUAAAUUAAUCUAAUCCCCUUUUAUUUUUCUACCAUCUUUAGUUGUAAAAAUCUUCAUUUUAAUAAUUUUUCUUCCCCAAAGUUGAGAAGAAAAGAGACAGGCAUUUAGCAAGGAAGUGUUUGGAAAAACACAAAGACAGUGAAGAGCUUCUGGAAACAUCAGUAACUGAGGAUAGUGGAGAACUAAUAGAAAAUGAAAGAGCAGACAUGGCGGCAGACCCCUCUCCCAGACAACAACCUUCUGAGGAAGAAAUCGGCGAAUCAUUGAGACUUUCUGCUUCACCUUUGAAUUUACCUGGUCAGAGAAAAUGUGACAAUCACACAGCUGUAAGCAGUUUAGACCAUGUGGAUUCUCAAAAAUUAUGCAUGAACAGCAUCCGAGGCUCAGACCAUGCUUAUCUCCAAGGUCAGCAGGAGGUCUCAUCCUCAGGGCUCCUAACAGGUUCUGAUUUGGACACAAUGAAUUUGGAUCAACUGCAAAGAGAAACGCUAAAAGUGCAGCUGGAAGUUUUAAGCCUACAAAAGGAAUAUUACACUUUGAAGCUAAAGAAAUUAAAAAGUUAGAAUGGGAUCUGAUUGUCUCCAUACAACAGAAGAAUAGAUGCAGGAUUUGGUUUGUUUGAUUGGCAGAGAAAGACAUAAUGUCAGAAAAGUAACACUGGUUUAACCUGAAGUUUUUCUAUCUAGCAGAAAAAAAAACACACACUCGAGUUAAUACAGUGUAGCUUUUUAGUGUAAAACAUAUUGAUUAAACACAUUUUUUCUUUUUUGUACAUGUGCACCACCAUGUGGGCCAAACAUAACUAGGACUCAAAUAUUCCAGUAAUGACUUCAUAAUACCAUUAUUAUUUCAACUUAAUGUUGUGGAAGCGUUUUACUGAACUUGUAUGCUGGAAAACUGUAAGCAAAUCUGACAGCUUGAAUUAUUUGUCAUAUCAUUGUCACAUCAGUCAUUUGGUUGAUGCGUGAGGGUAUUCCCAGAUGGCCAAUUGAUCCUUAAACAUAUUUAGGGGCGACAGUGGUGUUGGACAUGGAGU